AAACCAACAGGGAUUGCCCUAGUAACGGCGAGUGAAGCGGCAACAGCUCAAAUUUGAAAUCUGGCCCUCGGGUCCGAGUUGUAAUUUGUAGAGGAUGCUUUUGGCGCGGUGCCUUCCGAGUUCCCUGGAACGGGACGCCUUAGAGGGUGAGAGCCCCGUACGGUUGGACACCAAGCCUCUGUAAAGCUCCUUCGACGAGUCGAGUAGUUUGGGAAUGCUGCUCUAAAUGGGAGGUAAAUUUCUUCUAAAGCUAAAUAUUGGCCAGAGACCGAUAGCGCACAAGUAGAGUGAUCGAAAGAUGAAAAGCACUUUGAAAAGAGGGUUAAAUAGCACGUGAAAUUGUUGAAAGGGAAGCGUUUGCGACCAGACCUUUUCCUAGCGGAUCAACCGGUGUUCUCACCGGUGCACUUCGCUAGGUUUAGGCCAGCAUCGGUUUCUGUAGGGGGAUAAAAGCUCUGGGAACGUAGCUCCUCCGGGAGUGUUAUAGCCCUCUGCAUAAUACCCUUACGGGGACCGAGGACCGCGCUUCGGCAAGGAUGCUGGCGUAAUGGUCGUCAACGAC
RNAcentral lists this ribosomal RNA (562 nucleotides) under Xylariaceae sp. BCC 18786. Its description in RNAcentral is "eukaryotic LSU rRNA". It matches the Rfam family "Eukaryotic large subunit ribosomal RNA", at positions 62 to 648 of the family's 3401-position model. The record is from RNAcentral. RNAcentral also lists the same sequence under 2 other names. Lineage: Eukaryota; Fungi; Ascomycota; Sordariomycetes; Xylariales; Xylariaceae.